GGGGCCUUAGCUCAGAUGGGAGAGCACCUGCUUUGCAAGCAGGGGGUCAUCGGUUCGAUCCCGAUAGGCUCCACCA
Molecule: transfer RNA, 76 nt
Filed under: Erythrobacter sp.
Lineage: Bacteria; Pseudomonadati; Pseudomonadota; Alphaproteobacteria; Sphingomonadales; Erythrobacteraceae
Also listed under: 11 other names
Description: tRNA-Ala
Rfam family: tRNA
About the family: Transfer RNA (tRNA) molecules are approximately 80 nucleotides in length. Their secondary structure includes four short double-helical elements and three loops (D, anti-codon, and T loops).
Source: RNAcentral